GAUGAACGUUGGCGGCGUGGAUUAGGCAUGCAAGUCGAGCGCUCAUAGCAAUAUGGGAGCGGCGAACGGCGUAGUAAUAUGUAGGAACGUACCCUCGGGUCGGGGAUAGCCAUGGGAAACUGUGGGUAAUACCCGAUAAUCUCUGCGGAGCAAAGGUGUGAUUCCGCCUGAGGAGCGGCCUACACGAUAUUAGCUAGUUGGUAGGGUAAUGGCCUACCAAGGCUACGAUGUCUAGGGGGUGUGAGAGCAUGGCCCCCACGACCGGAACUGAGAUACUGUCCGGACACCUACGGGUGGCUGCAGUCGAGAAUCUUCCGCAAUGGACGAAAGUCUGACGGAGCGACGCCGCGUGCGGGAUGAAGGCCCUUGGGUUGUAAACCGCUGUCAGAGGGGAUGAAAUCUUCGGAGGUGCUCCUCCAAAGUUGACAGAGCCUCAAAGGAAGCACGGGCUAAGUACGUGCCAGCAGCCGC
Molecule: ribosomal RNA, 471 nt
Filed under: uncultured bacterium
Lineage: Bacteria
Description: bacterial SSU rRNA
Rfam family: Bacterial small subunit ribosomal RNA
Source: RNAcentral